AGUAAGAUAUCACAUGUCGAAAUCGGGAUUUAUUUAAAUAAACAGUACAAGCAAAUAUGAGCACGUGAUUCACUUUACAGUUACAGAAUCACCGAGUCAGAGAAAAUACAUCAAUAAUUCUCCUCUACAUUUUUUUUUCCUUUCUUUUUCUUCUCUUUUUCUUUCCAUUAAACUUUGUUCCCCAACUUCUAUACACCACUAUCAUUAUGUUUUUCUUUCUUUUUCCCCACCAUUACACUCAAGUCUUCACCAAUGAAUUAUUAGUAUCAACCCCAGCCAACAAACUCCCUACUUCAUUCACUGUCCGUCAAGUUUCAAGGGGAGUAAAGUACUCUUCUUCUUGCCAAACUUCAAGGAGGUAAGCCUUCUUUGAAUUCUCUUUAAUGCACUCAGGAUUCCACCUACAUUUAUGAACAGCAACUUGGUUAUUUCAGUUCAUUUUGCUGCAUAUAAUCCAACAACGAAACAGCCAUUCAACAAGACAUUCAAGGUCAAGCACGAGAUUAAUAAUCAGUCAAGGAGCUACUGUACCACAAAAAGUUUCUAACAGGUUGAGCAGCUGCCGAUGGUGAUGAAGUGACGAGCGGGAUUCUUUUGUCUUAUUAUGUAUUAAUGAACUCUAGGGUUACAUGUCUUCAUACAUGUAAUCAGAAUCAUAUUCCGCUGCGUACUCAGAAGUUUUAUGUUUAUUUGGCUAAGUCAGAGAUAUCUGAACUUACUAGUUAUUUGAGUCUAUACGACUAAACUUCUGUUAUAUUAUAAAUAUUCCUUUUGUUAAAUUAUGAAA
Long non-coding RNA from Salvia miltiorrhiza (redroot sage), 787 nucleotides. RefSeq lists it as uncharacterized. The record is from RefSeq and is a predicted model, not a curated record. The transcript is spliced from 3 exons. NCBI's taxonomy places the organism in Eukaryota, Viridiplantae, Streptophyta, Magnoliopsida, Lamiales, Lamiaceae.